Molecule: non-coding RNA, 89 nt
Filed under: Streptomyces sp. M41(2017)
Lineage: Bacteria; Bacillati; Actinomycetota; Actinomycetes; Kitasatosporales; Streptomycetaceae
Description: sodF sRNA
Rfam family: sodF sRNA
About the family: Identified in Streptomyces coelicolor. It is produced from sodF mRNA by cleavage of about 90 nucleotides from its 3'UTR. However, it does not affect the function of sodF mRNA, but acts on another mRNA called sodN. s-SodF RNA has a sequence complimentary to sodN mRNA from the 5'-end up to the ribosome binding site.
Source: Rfam by way of RNAcentral
GCGUCCUGCUCGUGAUCGUCUUCUCACCCUUCACGGAGCGGGCGGAAGAAAGGGAGCCCCCGCGAGGACAUGACUCGCGGGGGCUCUCC